CUGGCUCUCUCAGUGGAAUAGAAUAUUAAAUUUUUGAGAUUUGUCAUUUGAGCUGAAUCGAGAUCAGUUCAAGUCGACUCGAGACUAGUUCGUGCUAAUUCGACACCUUCUAACAGGCAUAAUGAUUAGUUCUGCAAAAAUCUAUUUUCACCCAGAAAAGUAUUCUAAUGGCUAUUUUCUAUAUCCAAUGAUCAUAAAUGGCUAGAGUCAAGUUCAAAUAAGUCUAAG
This 228-nucleotide long non-coding RNA is filed under the name Elaeis guineensis (African oil palm). RNAcentral's name for it is "long non-coding RNA (EGUI_LNC031741)". Lineage: Eukaryota; Viridiplantae; Streptophyta; Magnoliopsida; Arecales; Arecaceae. The record is from RNAcentral.